GACUUGAUUGUAUUUCUAACAAGGUCCCAGGGGAUGCUGAUGGUACUGGACCAGGGACCACAUUUUAGGAGCCACUACUCUGGGGAAACAUCUCAUCUGAGAACAAUGGCCGUAGACCAAAUACACUGGCGGGGGGGGGGGGGGGCGGGAGGACUUUGGGUAGGUGGCUUUUUACAUGCUCUUCCAUUAAGGACAUAGGAUCUGUGUCCCUCUUGAAUCCAGGUGGGCUUUUGAUUGUUGGAGCAAUAGAAUACUGUGGAUGUGAUGCUGUGUGACUUUCCAGGCUAGGUCAUAAACAACCAAGCAGCUCUUGGGAUGCUCAUUCUAGGAGAAAGCAGCCAUCACGUAAGAAGACCAGUUACCUUGAGACUGCUGUGUUAGAGAGUCUCUGGCUGACAGUCCUAAUGAGCCUGCUUCCAGCCAUCCCCACCACGGUGCCAGACAUUGUCUCUGCCUUUGCCAUGACAAUGUGCUGGGCUAGGUUGCUAGAGGGUAAGGCACAAGGAGCCUGCCUGAACUGCUCCAGCCGUGCUGGCCAAGUCCUCCUAGAUCAGCUGAGUCUGCAAACUGCCAGGCAUAUGGAGUCCAGUCAAGACCAGACUGUCCAGCCACACCCAGUCUUAAUCGCCAAUCCAGAGUUGUAAGCAAAAUAAAUGCUUAUUUUAAGCCACUGAA
This is a long non-coding RNA of Neofelis nebulosa (Clouded leopard), 675 nucleotides long. RefSeq lists it as uncharacterized. The transcript is spliced from 2 exons. NCBI's taxonomy places the organism in Eukaryota, Metazoa, Chordata, Mammalia, Carnivora, Felidae. The record is from RefSeq and is a predicted model, not a curated record.